GGAUCCAGACUUUGAUCCUGGCUCAGGAUGAACGCUAGCUACAGGCUUAACACAUGCAAGUCGAGGGGCAGCGGGAUUGAAGCUUGCUUCAAUUGCCGGCGACCGGCGCACGGGUGAGUAACGCGUAUCCAAUCUUCCGUACACUCAGGGAUAGCCUUUCGAAAGAAAGAUUAAUACCUGAUAGUAUCUUAAGCACACAUGUAAUUAAGAUUAAAGAUUUAUCGGUGUACGAUGGGGAUGCGUUCCAUUAGGUAGUAGACGGGGUAACGGCCCACCUAGCCAACGAUGGAUAGGGGUUCUGAGAGGAAGGUCCCCCACAUUGGAACUGAGACACGGUCCAAACUCCUACGGGAGGCAGCAGUGAGGAAUAUUGGUCAAUGGACGAGAGUCUGAACCAGCCAAGUAGCGUGAAGGAUGAAGGUCCUACGGAUUGUAAACUUCUUUUAUAAGGGAAUAAACCCUCCCACGUGUGGGAGCUUGUAUGUACCUUAUGAAUAAGCAUCGGCUAACUCCGUGCCAGCAGCCGCGGUAAUACGGAGGAUGCGAGCGUUAUCCGGAUUUAUUGGGUUUAAAGGGAGCGCAGACGGGUCGUUAAGUCAGCUGUGAAAGUUUGGGGCUCAACCUUAAAAUUGCAGUUGAUACUGGCGUCCUUGAGUGCGGUUGAGGUGUGCGGAAUUCGUGGUGUAGCGGUGAAAUGCUUAGAUAUCACGAAGAACUCCGAUUGCGAAG
Molecule: ribosomal RNA, 729 nt
Filed under: uncultured Bacteroidota bacterium
Lineage: Bacteria; Pseudomonadati; Bacteroidota
Description: bacterial SSU rRNA
Rfam family: Bacterial small subunit ribosomal RNA
Source: RNAcentral